Molecule: non-coding RNA, 239 nt
Organism: Pelobates cultripes (western spadefoot toad)
Lineage: Eukaryota; Metazoa; Chordata; Amphibia; Anura; Pelobatidae
Source: the annotation of a GenBank genome assembly
CUCGAUCAGAACAUGAAGAACUAUAACAGACAGAAUUUUUAUUUUGCUGGAUAUCUGGAUACAAAUUAUACUCCUCAUUACAAACCUGAACAAACUCUUCUUUGAUACUGUUGCUCCUGGAUUGUUUGUUUUUUUGUUCCACUUUCUGUCAGCACCCCUAAAAUGUAUUUAUUUAUUGACUAUGACAUGUUUAUCGACUUAUAGCCUGAGAGUCGUUCGGGACAGACGACAAAGACAAG